GACGAGGUGGCCGAGCGGUCUAAGGCGCUAGAUUCAGGACUAUCCGGUGUUCCGGAGGAAAUGUUCUAGUCCGUAAGGGCGUGGGUUCAAAUCCCAUCCUCGUCA
This 105-nucleotide transfer RNA is filed under the name Volvox carteri f. nagariensis. It matches the Rfam family "tRNA". From Rfam's summary of the family: Transfer RNA (tRNA) molecules are approximately 80 nucleotides in length. Their secondary structure includes four short double-helical elements and three loops (D, anti-codon, and T loops). The record is from Rfam by way of RNAcentral. Lineage: Eukaryota; Viridiplantae; Chlorophyta; Chlorophyceae; Chlamydomonadales; Volvocaceae.